RNAcentral lists this ribosomal RNA (274 nucleotides) under uncultured bacterium. RNAcentral's name for it is "partial 16S ribosomal RNA". It matches the Rfam family "Bacterial small subunit ribosomal RNA", at positions 523 to 796 of the family's 1533-position model. The record is from RNAcentral.
AUACGAAGGGGGCUAGCGUUGUUCGGAAUUACUGGGCGUAAAGCGCGCGUAGGCGGUCUGUUAUGUCAGAUGUGAAAGUCCUCGGCUCAACCGGGGAAGUGCAUUUGAAACUGGCAGACUUGAGUAUUGGAGGGGGUAGUGGAAUUCCCGGUGUAGAGGUGAAAUUCGUAGAUAUCGGGAGGAAUACCGGUGGCGAAGGCGACUACCUGGCCAAAUACUGACGCUGAGGUGCGAAAGCGUGGGGAGCAAACAGGAUUAGAAACCCUAGUAGUCC